UACGUAGGUGGCAAGCGUUGUCCGGAUUUACUGGGCGUAAAGGGCGCGUAGGCGGCCUUCUAAGUCAGACGUGAAAUCCCCCGGCUUAACCUGGGAACUGCGUCUGAUACUGGGAGGCUCGAGUAUGGGAGAGGGAUGUAGAAUUCCAGGUGUAGCGGUGAAAUGCGUAGAUAUCUGGAGGAAUACCGGUGGCGAAGGCGGCAUCCUGGACCAUUACUGACGCUGAGGCGCGAAAGCUAGGGGAGCAAACGGG
This 253-nucleotide ribosomal RNA is filed under the name uncultured bacterium. RNAcentral describes it as "partial 16S ribosomal RNA". It matches the Rfam family "Bacterial small subunit ribosomal RNA", at positions 524 to 776 of the family's 1533-position model. The record is from RNAcentral.